Molecule: ribosomal RNA, 432 nt
Filed under: uncultured bacterium
Lineage: Bacteria
Description: partial 16S ribosomal RNA
Rfam family: Bacterial small subunit ribosomal RNA
Source: RNAcentral
CCUACGGGAGGCAGCAGUGGGGAAUUUUGGACAAUGGGCGCAAGCCUGAUCCAGCCAUGCCGCGUGCAGGAUGAAGGCCUUCGGGUUGUAAACUGCUUUUGUACGGAACGCGGUACCGUAAGAAUAAGCACCGGCUAACUACGUGCCAGCAGCCGCGGUAAUACGUAGGGUGCAAGCGUUAAUCGGAAUUACUGGGCGUAAAGCGUGCGCAGGCGGUAAUGUAAGACAGAUGUGAAAUCCCCGGGCUCAACCUGGGAACUGCAUUUGUGACUGCAUUGCUGGAGUGCGGCAGAGGGGGAUGGAAUUCCGCGUGUAGCAGUGAAAUGCGUAGAUAUGCGGAGGAACACCGAUGGCGAAGGCAAUCCCCUGGGCCUGACUGACGCUCAUGCACGAAAGCGUGGGGAGCAAACAGGAUUAGAUACCCUUGUAGUC